Molecule: ribosomal RNA, 497 nt
Filed under: uncultured bacterium
Lineage: Bacteria
Description: partial 16S ribosomal RNA
Rfam family: Bacterial small subunit ribosomal RNA
Source: RNAcentral
GAUGAACGCUGGCGGCGUGCCUAAUACAUGCAAGUCGAGCGAACAGAUGAGGAGCUUGCUCCUCUGACGUUAGCGGCGGACGGGUGAGUAACACGUGGAUAACCUACCUAUAAGACUGGGAUAACUUCGGGAAACCGGAGCUAAUACCGGAUAAUAUAUUGAACCGCAUGGUUCAAUAGUGAAAGACGGUUUUGCUGUCACUUAUAGAUGGAUCCGCGCCGCAUUAGCUAGUUGGUAAGGUAACGGCUUACCAAGGCAACGAUGCGUAGCCGACCUGAGAGGGUGAACGGCCAGAUGGGAACUGAGGCACGGUCCAGACUCCUACGGGAGGCAGCAGUAGGGAAUCUUCCGCGAUGGGCGAAAGCCUGACGGAGCAACGCCGCGUGAGUGAUGAAGGUCUUCGGAUCGGAAAACUCUGUUAUUAGGGAAGAACAAAUGUGUAAGUAACUAUGCACGUCUUGACGGUACCUAAUCAGAAAGCCACGGCUAACUACGUG